Molecule: long non-coding RNA, 1037 nt
Organism: Panthera uncia (snow leopard)
Lineage: Eukaryota; Metazoa; Chordata; Mammalia; Carnivora; Felidae
Exons: 2
Source: RefSeq, a predicted model, not a curated record
GUUGUGGACGGCGGGGCGGCCGGCCCCCGCCGCCCCCACUCCCCCUGCACCCCGAGGUCUUCUUAGCCCCUUAGAGCGUCGUGCGUGUUCAGACCCUUUGGGCAGUAGAAACGGCAAAAGAAAAUGCUUGCUCAGAUUCCCAGUGCUUUGGCACGUUUCAGGGUCCUCCCAGUGUCUUCGGGAAAACUUCGACCGUCGAUGCAGCACCUGUGAUGUGGUCUAAACACAGGAAAGUUUUCAUUCCAGUACAGUUGACGUACCAUACGACAUUAGCUUCAGAUGCACAAUAGAGCGAUUCAAGAAUUAUGAACGUCAGUCGGUGCUCAUGAUAAGUAUACCCUUCAUCCCCUGCCCCUGUUUCACCUGUUCCCCCCACCUCCCUCCGGUCACCAUCAGUUUGUUCUCUAUAGUUAAGAGUGCGAACUGGGAUCUUACCCUGUUUAUCUUCGUGUCUCUAAGGGCUGGCUUAUUGUAGGAGUCCCGUAAAUGCUUGUGGAUGAAAACGCAGCAGUAAAAAUCUCUCUCUGGGUAUUAGUUUACUCAUGUGUAAGAUGAGGGACCGUUAAUGGCUCCCCAGCACUAGCUCUAACAUUCCAAGACUCCGCGUGCUCUUAGUCAGUGAUCAUUUGUGGACACAGUGAUAUUAAGUGGAUGACGGAAUUGCACACUUGCUCCUAAAAGUUGAUAGGAUGUGUGUGUAACCGCCUUUGAAUGUAGGGUGGCAGAAAGUACUAUCUGGAGACCUGCCCACUAGCUUGCUGUUUCCUUGGGCAGAUAACUUGACCUUGCUGAUUUUUUAUUUCUCCCUCUUUAAAAUGAGAAGGUGGUAGUAGACGCGUAUGUCCUUUCAGUCGUAAUUAGUUUUACAAUUACAUUUUGUUGUUUUUAUAUUUAUCUUAGAGUUUUAGUAGUCACUCUUUCUUAUGGUUUUAUGUGAGCCAGUCCUCGGGGAAAAAAAAAAUGUCUUGUCUGCCAGCAGCCAUACUUACAUGGGUAAUGGAAGAUUGCAGAGUUUGAAAGUGGCUCAAGAGGCAAUU